CGUAGGGUGCGAGCGUUAAUCGGAAUUACUGGGCGUAAAGCGUGCGCAGGCGGUUAGUUAAGUCUGAUGUGAAAGCCCCGGGCUCAACUUGGGAAUGGCGUUGGAAACUGGCUGGCUAGAGUGCGGCAGAGGGGGGUGGAAUUCCGCGUGUAGCAGUGAAAUGCGUAGAGAUGCGGAGGAACACCGAUGGCGAAGGCAGCCCCCUGGGCUGACACUGACGCUCAGGCACGAAAGCGUGGGGAGCAAAAGGG
RNAcentral lists this ribosomal RNA (251 nucleotides) under uncultured bacterium. Its description in RNAcentral is "partial 16S ribosomal RNA". It matches the Rfam family "Bacterial small subunit ribosomal RNA", at positions 526 to 776 of the family's 1533-position model. The record is from RNAcentral.